This 488-nucleotide ribosomal RNA is filed under the name uncultured bacterium. RNAcentral describes it as "bacterial SSU rRNA". It matches the Rfam family "Bacterial small subunit ribosomal RNA", at positions 29 to 526 of the family's 1533-position model. The record is from RNAcentral.
AAUGAACGUUGGCGGCAUGGAUUAGGCAUGCAAGUCGAGCGCGAAGAGUCAUUUGCUUGCAUUUGACUCUGAAAGCGGCGUAAGGGUGAGUAACGCGUAGUUACCUGCCUCCGGGUCCGGAAUAGCCACGGGAAACUGUGGGUAAUGCCGGAUAACAUCUCAGGAUCAAAGGUGAGAUUCCGCCCGGAGAGGGGACUGCGUCCUACUAGCUUGUUGGUGGGGUAAUGGCCUACCAAGGCUCCGAUGGGUAGCGGGCGUGAGAGCGUGGCCCGUCACACUGGGACUGAGACACUGCCCAGACACCUACGGGUGGCUGCAGUCGAGAAUCUUCGGCAAUGGGCGAAAGCCUGACCGAGCAAUGCCGCGUGCGGGAUGAAGGCCCUCGGGUUGUAAACCGCGAAAGUGAGGAGGAAGGCCCUGCGAAGAGCAGGUUUUGACCGAUCCACAGUAAGGACGGGCUAAGUUCGUGCCAGCCGCCGCAGUAAUAC